This is a long non-coding RNA of Anolis carolinensis (green anole), 464 nucleotides long. RefSeq lists it as uncharacterized. The transcript is spliced from 2 exons. Lineage: Eukaryota; Metazoa; Chordata; Lepidosauria; Squamata; Anolidae. The record is from RefSeq and is a predicted model, not a curated record.
AUAGCAGUUCUAGUGUCACAUCACAAUAGGCACUAUGGUAACUGUUCUCAAUUCCAACUUGCUCUGUUCUUUCCAACCUACCAGUUUUGCUUCACAAUCAGCCCUUGAUAUCUGCUGGAGUCUGGUUCCAAGACCUCCCCCUCUAUGGAUACCAAAAUCUAUGGAUGUUCCAGUCCCACGUCAUGGUUUAUCCAAAUGAACUCUGGGACAGAGAAGUCCAUAAGUGUUGCUACACCUGAGAUUUGUGAUCGAGGAGGUAACUGGAUUGCUUUGUUAUUUAAGUUGAUAGAAUAGACUUUGUUAUUCCCAGAUCAAAAUGGUAAUCUUCUUCCAGGCAGUUUUCUUGCAUGAAGAAAUGCUCUUCUUUGAAGGUAGUAUAGAGUUGCUACAGGCAGAGUGAUAAUAUCAGCCUCUACUGCAUCCAAAAUAAGUUUGUAUCCACAAGUGAAUGUAAAAAAAAAACA